AAUGGCAAGAGGAAGAUGGCAUGGCUAAGCUGGGAGAGGAUGAUGUUACCCAAGGCCAUGGGGGGCAUGGGAUUCCGAGACAUGAGGGCUUUUAAUCAGGCUUUGCUUGCCAAGCAGGCCUGGCGCCUACUGGAUAGCCCAGAUAGCUUAUGUGCGAGGUUAUUGAGCGCGUGCAAGGGGAUCAGCGGUGGUGGGCGGGCAGGCCUGGGGCACCGCACCACGAGGUGGAGCCGGUGGACGUCGACCAUGGAGAUUGUGUGCUGUGCAGUGCUGCGGAUCUGCUCGGUUUCGGAGGUGUGGUGGAGCUCCGGGCGAAAGUCCAACCCCGUCUUUGGGUCGGUGCCGGCAACGGCGGCGCCAUGGCGUCGUUUCCCUUCUUGA
This 381-nucleotide ribosomal RNA is filed under the name Triticum aestivum (bread wheat). Its description in RNAcentral is "partial small subunit ribosomal RNA". The record is from RNAcentral. Lineage: Eukaryota; Viridiplantae; Streptophyta; Magnoliopsida; Poales; Poaceae.